Molecule: transfer RNA, 72 nt
Filed under: Phrynosoma platyrhinos (Desert horned lizard)
Lineage: Eukaryota; Metazoa; Chordata; Lepidosauria; Squamata; Phrynosomatidae
Description: tRNA-OTHER
Source: RNAcentral
GAUAGUGUGGCGUAGUGGUUUGAGUGUUUGACUAUGACUCUGGAGACCAGGGUUUGAUUCCCAGCUCAGUCA